Molecule: long non-coding RNA, 13397 nt
Filed under: Gossypium raimondii (Peruvian cotton)
Lineage: Eukaryota; Viridiplantae; Streptophyta; Magnoliopsida; Malvales; Malvaceae
Description: long non-coding RNA (GRAI_LNC002525)
Source: RNAcentral
GGCGGUGGGCACGGUGGCGCUGGUGCGACGGCGGAGGUGCUGCUGUUUUGACCUUUUUUUUUUAUUUUUUUGCUUCUGCUAUUUUUUUUUGGUUGCUCCCUUGCUUCUUUUUUUGUAUUUUGUGGGGGAUUUUUUUAUUUUUUUGGAGAGAAAGUCCCCUUUUAUGCUUGAUUUUUGCUUCUUUUUGCAGGUGGUAGGGAGGGCCUAGGUCGGCCGCCGCGCGUUGCAGGUGCAACUUGCGUCAGUGGCUGCCAGAGGGACCAAAAUGUAAUGGCAGCAAAACUUUUGGGGCCGAAUCAUAAUUUUGAGAAAGUUUAAGGGUUCAAAUGUAAUUUCAAGAAAGUUUAGGGGUCAAAAUGUAAUUUAGAAAAGUUUAGGUGUUGAAUUGUAAUUUUGAGAAAGUUUAAGGGUUAAAAUGAAAUUUUAGAAAAGUUUAAGGGUUAAAAUGCAAAAAAAAUUUAAAAAAAUUUUAAACACGAAAUUAAUCCCGGACAAAAUUCAGUGAUUACAACAUCUAAACAUCAACGAACAUAUGGCUAAAAAAACUUAACCAACAUAUGGCUAAAAUAACUUUCUCCACCGUCCUUUAUAUUAAAUGAAGGUAAUUUUAUAUUAGUUGUUUAUCAGUGUAAAAUUAAGGUAAUCUUACAUUAUUUCAUCUUUUUUAUACGAUUAAUAUUUUAGUGAUUUAAUCGUUAUUUUUUAUAUUUUACUCAUAUAAAUUAUGUAUGGUAAAUUUAAUAUAAAUUAAAAUUUUCUAACUAUUUAUUUUUCAUAUUAUCGUAUCCAUCACUUAUUGGAAUUAAAAGAAUUUUUUUUUUGUCCUCUAAUAAACACAUUUCAUUAAAUUUUAUCUAUAUGUUAUAUUUCAUAUUAGACCUACCUAUAGGUUAGGCAUAGUGGCGGCUUGGAUUUUUCCUCCAACCCUUUUAUGUUGUAUAGUGUAAAACUAGUUUAUAGUUAAAUGUGACGUAUGGGUUAAUUGUGUAUAUUAAAAAUUUUAAUAUAAUUAUAAAAUAUUUUUAAAAAUAGAAUCAAUGUUAAUUAAUUUUAAAAAUAUUUAAUAUUAAAAUAAUAUAAAAAUUCAUCAUAGUUUGAAUAUUAAUAUAUUAUCAUUUAAAUAAUAUUAUCAGUAAUUUCUCAUAGGUUAUUUCUUAUAUAUUUGAUUUUUUUAAUUUUAUUUUUAUCCAUAAAUCGUUGUUUAUUCGAUUGAUUAUAAUUAUUUCUUCAUUUAAUAAAUUAAAACAUUAUAUUGAAAAUAAUGAAAAAAUAUUAGAUUAAAAAAUGAAAAAAAAUAUUUUCUAUAAGAUAAUUAAAAUAAUUUUUAAAAUUUCUUUUUCAAUGGGCUUACUACAUAUUAUAAAUAAGUAAAAUGAAAAAGCAUUAUUUCAUUUCACUUAUUACACAUAUUUUUUAAAUAAAAUAUAAUAAAUUAUCUUAAUAAUUAUCCCAACAAAAAAUAAUUUUUAAAAUAAAUAUAAUUCUUUUAUCUUUUAAAAUUACUUUUUGUAAUAAAAAUAAACAAAAUUGAAAUAAUUUUAAAAUAAGAAUGUUAAGAGGAUUUAUUAAUGAAACCCAUGCGAUAAUUAUACAUUAUUUAAAAUUAAAUAUAAAAACAUUACCAACCUCACAUUAAAAUAUUUCUUAUGUUUUAAAAGGUUUAUAAUGACACAUAUUUAAUUGUUAUGUAUAAAUAUUAUCUGUUAAUAUAAAAAAAUGCAUCAUUAAAUGGUCAUUAGGGGCUAGUAUUUUCUGUGUAUAUAUAGGUUUUAUUCAGUUAAAUGGUCAUUUUUGUUUACACCCAUUAUAAAUACAUCCCUCUUUUUCAUUCUUCCUAAAAUUCAUGUAAAUAAAAUUGCAUACACCUUAAUGCUAAAAGUUCUUUUAUUAAGUUCAGGAUUCAUGACAUAUUAUUUGUAACUUCUCUAACCUGGCCUAAACAUUACGAUCAGAUUCUAAAGGUUACAUAAGCCACAGAAAUGGCCUAGUAAAACUAUUGGAGUUUAUAAAACAAUCUUUUUAAAGCAUUUGCUUACCUUAGUAGAAAAAACUUAGUGUGUUUCCAAAAGGUAUAAUUUCUUUCAAAAAUCGGUUAAUUUUAAUGAUUACUUUGUAAAAAUUGAUUUCUAAUUUUAUAUGUUUUUCAAAUCUCAUUUACAUAAUAAUGCAACGGAAAAGUGAAAUUCAACAUAGUAUUAAUUAAAAAUCUAGUUUGCAUUCAAAAUUAACUCAAAUUCCAUGUUUCGACAUCCUAAAAUCAAUUAAAACGACAUGCAUACCAAAUAAACCCCAAAUUAAAAAUAAACCGAGACGAGCCCUCCAAAUGCCGAAUUUGUGUCUUAACAUUGUGGGUUAUCUGAAAAGAUGAAAAUUAAGGGGGAUGAGCUUAAGAAGCUCAGUGUGAGUCCAAUUACAAAAACACCAAUGCAAAACAGUAGACCAAGCAUACAAAAUAACAAUUCUCAGAUUAAUCACAAUCGUGUAACAAACAUAAUUUAAUAGUUUAUUUGAGCAUGCUUAUGUAUGUCAAUGUAAUUCAUAUUAACAGAAUAAGUUUCUACCCAUACUUCGCUACACUCCACAGUAAGAGUUCCCCAUAACUCAUCCAUUCCUACACUCUAUAUUAUGGAUAAACCACCAGUAUUUGCAAAUGAACUGCUAGUAAAAAUUGUGGGUAACCACCAGUAUUUUCAAAUAAAAAGUUUGCAAAUAAACUGCCAGUUAGUUUUAGAUGAACCACUAGUGUUUGCAAAUUAUUAAUGUAAUAGUCCGUUUUUAGUGAAAUUGGAAUAAUGGUUUCGGGACCACAAAUUUGAGGUCGGAAGAAAAUUUAUUUUAAUAUUAUUUUGUGGUCUAUUGUAUAAUAGGAAUGACAUAUGAAAAUUUCGUUAAGAAAUUUUACCGAUUACAUGUCUAAUUGGUUAAAAAGGACUAAAUUAAAAAAUGUGUAAAACUUGCUAAUUAUGAUAGUUAAGUGAUUAAAUAGCUUGACUAGUAAAUAGGGGAGGACUUACGGCAUAAAUAUGCCUAAAAUAGGUGGAUGAGGCGGCAUAAACUGGGAAAUUAAUAAAAUAAAAAUCAAUUACAAUUUUGCCAAAUUAAAACAAAAACAAAUGGAAAAUUAAAGAUUUCUAGACAUUCAAUUAUCAUUUUCGGUUCUAAGAAUAGACAUUAAAGAGGGUUUAGGCUGGUUCUUUAAUUUUUUCUUCAUGUGAGUUUAAUUCUUACCCGUUUCUUGAAAUUUUUAUGUUUUUGAGAUUGUUAUAAUUAGAUCCAAUUAACCUUUACUUUAGUUUUAGAUUUAUUUGAAAAUUUUGGAAGUUACCAUUGAAAAGUUCAUAUGAUUUUAGUUAUUAGAUGAUGAAUUUGAGAUGUUGAUGGGUAUUUAAAAGUAUUUUAUUUAAGAAUUUUGAUGAAAUUUUGAUUUAGGGAUAAAAUUGAAAAGAUGUUGAAAUCAUGGAAAAUUUUGAAUUUUAUGAAAUUCAUGGGUUUCUAUUGUUAUAUAUGAAAAUUUCUAGGCUUGGAAUGAAGAUUAAAUUUCAUGGAUUUCAUUUUCAGAGCCUAAGGACGAAAUCGUAAUUGAUUAAAAGUAUAGGGGCAAAAUGGUAAUUUUGCCAAAGAUGUGUAUUAGAUAGUGUUUGACACAAUUUUUUUGAUAAAAUGGAGUCGACUUGGGUUUUGGAAAAUGAAAACAAAAAUGGGAGUCGCCACCAAUCCUUUUUGAUGAGGUGUGAUCGGGUCACCUCGAAAAGUUUUUUAAUAAACGAUUUGAUUUUAUUAAAACACGAUUUUUGUCCACGAAAUCUAGGAAAACAGGUUCGGGAGGCAGUUACGUACGAGGAAGGACUAGCACCCUCGUAACGCCCAAAAUUGGCACCUAGUUGAUUAAUUAGUGUCCUAGUAUCGAAGAUUGAAGACUUUGAAAAGUUUUUAAAAAAUACGAUCCUAAAAAAAAACUAAUAUAAAUCAAAUUAUCCGUUAAGACCCUCUCAUUUCGGAGAGAGAAAAUAUCACACCCAAUGAGUUAGGGCAUGAUAUUUCACCUCUUCAAAAAUGAGCUUGUCCAAAAAACUCGUGCAAUAAAAUUUAAAAGGAUAUUCAAUUGUUUAAGUCAGAUGAAGAAAUCGCAGCCCAAUACGUUAGGGCACAAUUUCUCAAAAUUCUAAACAUUGAAUAUUGCCUUUAUUAUUAUUUUUAAGAAAAAAUCCUCAUCUCGAGAAAACAUGUUAUAUCCAAUGCAUUAGGACACAAUGUAUUGAAUUCCCGCUAAUGAGCUUUUUUUUUAUGUUUUUGAUUAAAGAGCAUUCUCGAUUAUUUAGAUUCAACGAAGAAAAUUAGAACCCAAUAUGUUAGGGCUCAAUCCCCUCGAAGAUCCCAAAUACUGAGUAUUGCCUUUAUUUUCAAAAUUUUCCAUUUUACGAAUCUAGGUAAAAAUUGAUGUAAUGGAAAAACAAUUAUGAUAAUGUAAGUAAAAAUAAUACGAGCAAAAACAAAAAGGUAAAUAAAUAAGAAGACAAAUAUAUAUAUAAAAAAAAUCAAUCAUGUAUACACAAUAACAAGUAAUAAGCAAAUAAAAGUGAAACAUUCUUUUAAAAUAAUAAUGAAAGCGUAAAUAGAUAAAUAAAAAAAUGAAUAAAAUUAUAAGAACGUAAAAAGAUAUAUGUAUGUACAUAUAUAUAUAAAUUAUAAGAUAUAAUAAGAAAUAUAUAUAAGCAUGUAUAUAUAUAUUUAUGAAAAUUAAAAAAUAUGUAUAUAUAUAUAGAUAUGCAUAAAAAUUAUAAAAUAUAAAAAAAAUAUAAGAAGGUAUAUAUAUAUGAAUUAUAAAUAAGUUAUAAAAUAUGUAUGGGUAUAGGUAUAUAUAUAUAUUAUAAAAAUGUAUGUAUGUAUAUAUAUAAUUAAAUCCAAAAUUAAAAAGGUAUAAAUGAGUAAAUAAUAAUAAUAAUAAUAAGAUUAAAAGAUAUUAAACUUAGAUAAGUAAAUAAAAUAAUAACAAUAAUAAUACAAAAAUAAUAGCAUAAUAUAAUAAUAUAAUAGUGAGGAAUAAAUAAAUAUAAAAAAAUUGAGUUAAUUAAUAAAAUAACACAAUAACUAAAAAAAGAGAGACUAAUUUGCAUUCUAAGACAAAGAUUUGGGGCAAAAUCAAAAAUAAAAUAAAAAAGGGGACUAUUUUGAACACGCGCAUAAUGUGAGGGGACUAAAAGGGAAAUUUUCCCUUUUUCCCCAAAACGACGCCGUUCAAAGAGGGACUUAAUUGAAAACGCAAUAAAUGGUGGGGUAAAAUUAAAAACAAUAAAAAUACUUGAUUAUAAAACCAUUAAAAAGCAGAAGGGAUAAAGGUGCAAUUAGCCCUUCUGAAUAAAAACACGCGGAUCUUGGCCUGGAGCGGGUCGAUUCUCGGGUCGGCCUCGAAAUGACGCAAAACGACGUCGUUUAGGCACUAAAAGAAUCAAGUCAAAACGGCGUCGUUUCUAGGCCCUAUAUAAGUAAAAAUUUCACAAAAAAGGUCAUUCUUUCUUCUUUCAACAAAAAAAAAUUCAAAAAACCUCUCCUCUCUCCCCUGCUCUCCUAAUAUUCUGCCAAGGGCCCGGUCGAGCUUCGGUCACCGGCCACCGUGUCGGCCCCUGGCUGUCGGCAACGGUGCCGCCGUAUGCGGUGGCCGGUAAAGGCUAAAACCUCUGAUCCUACCCUUUCAAUACCCCUAAACCCAAAUUCGAGCUCAAAAUCCCCAAAAUAUUAACCAAAUAGCCCCAAAAGCUUAGGAAACCUUUUGGUUUCCGGUCGCCUAUCCUCGGAGGUGACUUCCUCAACCACCCACGGCAUCGGAGGCCCGAAUAUAGGUCAGUUAUGACUCCCGUUUCUUUUUUGUUUUAUUUUUUGUAUAUGUAAAUAUAAUGAAAACCAAAAUAAUAAUAAAAAAUCAAAAAAGAUGAAGCGGAGAUUUAAAAAAGGGUGACAAGUAUCAACCUUUCGGGCUUUCUAUUGAAUUUUUUUCUUUCAAUAUUCGAUCCUUUAUUUUUUUUUGUAUUUUUGAAUCCCUCUUUCAUACAAUAUCCCCUAUUCUUUUUUACAACAUUCGGCUUUAUAGUCGAAAGAAAAUAAAAACUCAAUUUUUGCUAUUGUCUAGUCUUGUCUGCUUCUGCUUCUCUUGUUGCGUGUUUGCAUAUGACCGUGCAGAGUUGCAGCGGCAGCAGAGGGUGUCAGAUGCACAUGGCAGAGCAGGUCGCGACGCUCAUAGGGUUGGGGAUUAGGGUUUUUGCUGAAAUGUUUUAAGUUUUUGGGCUUGUUGGGCUAGGUUUUAAUUUGGAUCUGUUUGGGUUUAAUUUUGGGCCAUGUGGUUUGGGCUGGCAUUGUAAUGGACUGUUAUCUUUUAAUAUUUAGGCCCGGGCAGAAGUUGGGUCUUACAGAUAGAAUUGAGUAUGAAUUGUAUUAAAUUAAUGUUAAAUUCAUUCAUAUAGAUCCGGAUAGACCAAAUACAGAGUUAGAUCGAGGAAAAGAAAAAGUGUCGAAUUAGUAGAUUUUGCAUACACGAAUAUUGUCGAGGUAAGUUCGUGUAACUAAAUUGUAUAUUUAUAUUUUUUAUUAAAUGUUGUGUAUGUGAAUUAAAUUGUGUAAUUGACAUGUAUGAAAAUUGAACACGUAUCCAAAUAUAUCCGACAAGUAUUAAGUCCUAUUUGAAUAAAUGAAUUCAAUGGAUAUAGGGUUCCCGAAUUGGUUGUGGUCCUGCAUGUGUUGCGGACACACCACAGCUCGAAAGAGCGUUCCAUUAUUAGCUCUUAUGAGCUUUCCGUUAUAUGGUUCUUGCGAUCUUUCCGUUAAUAGCUCUUCAGAGCAUUCCAAUUGGUUGUGAUCUUACAUGUGUUGUGGACACACCGCAGCUCUUAUGAGCGUCCCGAUAUAUGACUCUUUGGAGCUUCUCGAUUAAAGGCUCUUCCAUGAGCUUCCCGUUAAUGGCUCUCCGGAGCUUCCCGAUAUUGGCUCGCUUGAACCUUCUCAAUAUUGGCUCGUAUGAGCUUCCGGUUAUAUGGCUCGAAAGAGUUUCCCAUUUAUGUGCUCGUAUGAGCAUUUCCGAAUAUGAAUUGACGGAUCUCAGAUUUAUACACUUCGUGUGUACUACCUAGGUAUCCAUCGAUAUUUUAAAUGACUCAACAAGCAAAAUCCUGAUAUGAGAAAAUAUAUGAAUUCAAAGUGAAACGUUAACUAUAUAUAUAUAUACACGAAAUACAUGGAAACUUGAUGUUGAUGAGCUCAUACAUAACUCUUGAUAUUCAUUGAAAUAAAUGACUAACAUGUUUGAUGAAGUUGUGUGUUUAAACUAUUAGCCAAAUUGCUUGGAUGCAUUUUGUAUGUUUAUUUUAAUGAAAAUAAAUGGUAAGUUAAUUUUUCGUUAUAUGAACUUACUAAGCAUUAAAUGCUUACUCUGUUUUAUUUCCUGUCUUAUAGUACUCAGAGGCUCGUAAAGGUUGAAAGCUGGUCAAAGUUACAUCACACUAUCCCUCGGACUCUUCAGUAUAUAUAGCAAACUAAUUUUGGUUAUAAUGACAUGUAUAGGCUAAAAAUGACCAAUAAUGGCAAUGUAAAUGUUUGGUUGUAAUUAGCCAUUGGGAUGGCUUGUGAAUGACAUAUUUUGAUGUGUUUAUAUAUGGUCUUAAUGUAUUUGAUAAGUCUUUGAAUUGGUUAAAUGAGGGAGAUUAUAUAGGCUCAUAAUUAAUUGAUUUGAGUUAGUAUAAUUGGUAAGAUAUGCAUGUAUGAGAAUUGGGUCAAUUAGGGAAAAUUGAAUACUUAGACAUAUGGGAUAUACUAUAACAUGUACUAAACUUGGUUUUAGCUUGAUUUGAAUUAUUGGUAUUGCCUUGUGAAUGUGUUAAAGUGUUGAUGUAAGUGGAAGAUAAUUUGGGUGAGAAAAGUGGCCUUGGAAAUAGCCUAUUUUUGUCCACACAGGCAGAGACACGGGCGUGUGUCUCAGCUGUGUGUGACACAUGACCUAGCACAUAGGCGUGUGAUUUGGCUAUGUGUCCCAUGUAUCUUAAAAAUUGAGAAACAGAAUGCUCAAAAUUAUCCACACAGCCUAGCACACAGGCGUGUGGCUUGGCUGUGUGACCUUUACACCUAAUUAAUGCAAGUUAAAUUGCUCACACGGCAUAGCACACGAGUAUGUAGCUUGGCCGUGUGACCCAAGUCAGUGAGUUACACGGGCAUGAGCACGGGCUGGGACACAUCCGUGUGCCCCUAUUUCAAAUGCCUACACAGCCUGGCCACAAGGGCGUGUGUCCUCUGCACCUAGGAAAAAUUUUGACAUUUUGCGAAAAAUUCUCUGAGUACCCGGUGUAGUCCCGACGUGUUUCAAAUGCAUAUUUUGGGCCUCGAGGGCUCAUGUAAGGGACAAAAUGAUUGAACAUGAUUGAUUUCUGAUAUGGAUGUUAAAUGAUAUAAAAUAAUUGUAUUUGAUCUGUAACUCCGGUAAUGUUCCAUAACCCUCUUCCGGCGACAGAUAUAAGUUAAGGGUGUUAUAAUUAAACUACCAAUACUUCCUCCAUUCAUAUCGUCCCACCCCAUGCAAUUCAAUAUUACAUGCUUGUAACAAUACAGUGCAGAAAUAGUAGAAAUCUUUAACAUGUAUUCAAUUCAACAGUAACAAUAGACAUGCUUAACAUACACUUAGUAGGGCAAAGUAGUAAUACAAUAACAAUUUAUCAAAAUUACAGUAACAAUAAACAUGUAACAUUCACAUAUUAUAUAUUAUAUAUUAUAAAAGUAGCAAUUCAGUCAUUAAAUCAUAAAUUCCAGUAUAUACAUAAUAUUAGGGACUCAAUUGAGUGAAUAAAAAUUCUAAAAAUAAUUCAGGGACUAUACAAGGACUAAAUUGAACAAUUCACAAAUUUUUAAGGAAAAUUGUACAACAAUGAUCACACGACUGUGUGGAAAAUGAUAAAUUACCCUAUAGGAAGGACACAACUGUGUGGCAGGCUGUGUAACAGGCUGAGGCUAUGUGGUUCACGAAGUAUUGUACGAUUUACAGGUGUACACGAUCCUGUGGUCCACACACCUGUGUGGCCCUAAACCUACAUACGGUUUGACCAGAUUCACUUGGUAAAAUACACACACACAUACCCCCCUUUCACCACGGGUUCAGUUGAUUCUCCUCGCGAUCGAUUUUGAUCUGAUUUACCUAAAUCCAGUCUUUCAAUGACAAAUAUACACAAUUAACGAUUGAUAUCAAAAUUUUGGCAAAAUUAUCAAAGAUUUGGCAAGAUUCGUAAAACAUUGAUUAAUCGAAUCAAAAUAUCAAUGUUGGAUUUUUGUACAACGGAUAUACAAAAUCUAACAAUUGAAAUGAAUGCACUUACCGAUCUCUGGCAAAGAUAAUGGAUGCUAUUUGAUGACAAUCUAACCUUUGAUAGAAAACGAUUGAACGAAGGACGAUUCGAUACAGGAACGAAAAAGAAUCAACAGCCCAAAGAUUGAAAAAUAUGGUGCAAGAAUGAGGGAAAAGAAUGGGCACUGACACUUAAUCAUUAAGCCUUAAGCUCAUUUCUUACUUAAUUUAGACACUGAACUGUACAUAUAUUUCGAAGUGUGACAACUGAAUUAUCAAAAUAAUAAAAAUAUGAAGGAGGGGGCUCAAACCUAAGAUCUCUUGGAAGAGGGACUAACACUUAACCAUUAGGCCAAUAAUUUUCUUAUUUAACAAACGCACAAUGAUAACCUUAUAAAUCGGGGCGUGACCACUCUCGAUUUCAUAAACUCGAUUCUACUAAUCCAAUUUUUAGGAUGUAACAUUUUUUUUUCAAUUUAAUAAAUUAUUAGUAUAAUUUAUAUUCUAAAUUUAUAUCAUGCCAUAUAUAUAAAAAAUUGUGUUUCUUACUGUAAUGAAAUAAAAAUUUAAUAUUGUAGGAGAAAUUAUUUUAUUGACCCUUCCCACCACAUAAUUCAUUGUCUCUUUCCAAUUAUGUAAAGACAUUUCAACAAUUUUUUUCAUGUCAUUGAUACAUAAUUUUGAUAAUUUUUUUACCUUGAACCCCGAACCCUAAACCCUAAACCAUGAAUCAAAACACUAAACUUUGAAUACUAAACACUAAACCUUAAAUCUUAAACCUUUCAUAGUUUAGGGUUUAAGGUUCAAGUUUAAGGUUUAAGGCUUAGGAUUUGGGUUUGGGUUUGGGGUUUGAGAUAGAAAAAUUACAAAAAUUAUAUAUUAAUGACAUGAAAAAAAUUGUUGAAAUGUCAUUAAAUAAUUAGAAAAGAACUAUGAAUAAUGUGGUGGGAAGGGUCUAUAAAAUAAUUUCUGAUAUUGUAGACAUCCAUUAAUAAUUUUGGAAACAAAUUUAUUAGUAACUUUUUAUUUUUAUGAAUUUAAAAAAAAUUAAUUUCUUAACCUAUUAAAAUUUCUAUUUUUAACUUGUUAGAAUAAAUUAUAUUAAUUUCUGCAUAAUUAACUCUAUUAAAACCAUUUAAAUCACGUCCAACCCACUGUUUACAUCCCAAGAUUCACGUGGUUUUCUAAUAAAUGGAAUAAGUUAAGUUUCAUCCUAUAUAGUUUGCAAUUUACGGGCUUCAGUCAUUAAUUUGUUGUUUUUCUUUUAUUCGAUUUAGUCCAUUAUCAAAUUUACUUUAUUUUAUUUAAAUAUAACUUAUGUGUUAUAUGAGAUUUAAUUAUUAAUGUCCUAUUUUAUAAUUAUAUAAUUGGAUUAAUUUUGAUUAUGUUUGUGAUAAAAUUUUAUGUUUGGAUGCCGAUAUUGACUUAUCUGUAUUCAUACUUAUUUUUCAUAGUUUUAGUCAAGUAUGUUUAUAUGUACGUAUUUCAGUUCUGAUUAGUGAUCUCUUGGUCAUUAAUAUUUAAAAAGUGUUUGAAUGUAAGGUUAGUAGAUUGAGUCUUAAUUCGAUUGGUAUGAUCAUUGUUGUUAAUGCAGGAGGAUGUAGCUCCGUGUGCGUUGAAGCGCAUUAUCCUUCUAUUUAUGGGUUGGGGAGGGACUAUGGGUAGUUUUAGGUAUUGUGUUAAAAAAAGUAGAUAUGAUCAUGCAAGCGAGUUGCAUCCUGCAAUCUGAACUGAGGACAGGUUUUUGGAGUAAGCUCACCUUCGCGGGAUCGCGACCCUUUGUCACGUCCAUUGUAGCAUGUGUGUCGCCCAUGGCAUAAGGGGCAUGAUGACUUUAUGUCAUCCUCACCUUCCUCUGGCUUAUCAUCGGUAGUCUGCUCAAGGUUCCAAACUCAACAGUGGCAACUAAACAUGAGGGUUGCACUCGUUGCGGGACUAAAACUAUAACGAAAUUGUUCAAAGAAAAGAUUUAUUAUCUUUAUUAAUACCUACAAUCAUUUUGUGUAUCACACGGAUAAGAAAACUAAUAUAUUAUAUAUUACAAGGUUUUAAGACUAAAGCUAACAUGGACAGCCUAUUUUAAUGACAUAUGGUAUAUUUAUUCCGUUGAAACGUGACAACUUCAUUCUUUAUAUAUAACAUUUAUUUUUGUUUUAAAAUUAAUAAAAGAUAAUAUAAAAUUAUAAUUCACCAUUUUUUAUGUUUAAAUUAAUAGAAAAUAAUCUUAAAAUUAUAAUAAAUAUAUUAAUCUACUUUAUGAUUCUACUUUUGUUUGCCAAACACUUUAUUUUUCUAUAACUAUUCAACCGUAAUCGUUUAUUAAAAACAUUAAAAAUUCAAUAUAUAUUUAUACAUUAAACUAAAUAUAUUUCUAAAUAUAAAAAUUAAUCUAUUACUAAAUAAAGUUUAAAUAAUAAAACAUAAAACUAUAAAAUUGAAUUUUUAAAAAUCAAAUGACAAAUUCAUAGAAAAUAAAACUUAAAUUAUUUUUUUACACAGUAUUUAAAAGAGUUCAAACUGAGGAAUUAUUACUUUUUUACCUUUCUUUUUUCCUCAAAAUAAAAAUAAAAAUUACGAACUAAUUAAAAAGCUAAUUAAAAAUAUCAAAUUUAUACGUAAACUUUAGUUCUGUGUGUAAUUUGAUACACGAAAAUUAAAUUGUGGUUCAUAUGUAUACAAGAAGCUUUGAUUUUGAUUCAAUUGUACACAUUUAAAGAAAUGAAUGCAUACAUUUAUUUUCAUAUUGGAUUAAUAUAAUUGUUUGUGUAUAUAACAUACCAAUAUAAAACGAUACUAAUUCGAUAAUGUUGAUGGAUGGAUAAAGAGUAAUGGAAGCAUGAGUUGGGUUGGUGGGUUACUGCGAAUCGAGAAAGGCGAUGUUCUUGUUGUGUUCUCCCAAUGUGUUGGAUUUGCUAUUCCAUGUAUGGCUGAACUCAUGGUUGUUAAGGAGGUGUUUAACUAUUUCUUUGCAUCCAAGUGUUGCAACUCACACAAGUUGGUGAUUGAAGCUGAUAGCCAAAAGAUUGUCAAUUGGUUUUUAGAUCCUUUUGAAACUCCUAACUCCUUGAGGAUUGUGGUCUUAGUUGCUUCAAGAUUUGGACCCAAUGAUAGAUGGUUAAUUCGAUACAUCUUUCUAGUAACAUUGAUGCCGAUGGUUUUGCAAAUGUUAAGAUUUGUCUCCGACUGUAGAAAAAUUCCUACUUAUCUAUUUAUAAUUUUUUAAAUUGUUAAUUUACUAUGAUUUUUACAUGCAAAGUAAAAUGAAUAAGUAAAUAUUUAUUUAUUGGUUACAUUAAUAUUAAAAAGACAAUUUAUUUAUAUAUAUUUUUUACAAAAGUGAAACUAUCCAAUUUAACAGAUAAAAAAUAUUUUAACUCAUUUAAAUGAAUCGAUUAAACAAAAGUCUUAUUAGUUUAACCUCAUUUAUAAUUUUUAAUAAUAUUCUUUUGGUAAUGUAGAAUUAGAGGGUUCAUACUCACACACAUAUGGUAAAGGUACAUACUUAUAUCAUACUUGCACAUAUUAUGUUCAAAGGAAACUGCUCAAAUAAAAGUCUACCACUUGUUCCAUAGGAGUUUAAUCCCGAAUAGGUUUUAUAAGUGAAUAGCCCUUACUCACUAGACUAACACGGGAAUUCUUCAUGAUGAUAUUUGAGUACGCUUUAAACCACAAUAUCAAAUAUAAACACAAAGGAGUUUAUACAAUUACUUAAUUCACAAAAAAAUAAAGGAGUUUAUACAUGGAUUCAAUUUUCAAUGACCUUAUGAGACUUAAGUUACUCGAGUAACUUGGGGAGUAAAGACGCAAAACGAAGGGUUUACCAACCUAAACGAUGAGUAACAACCAUUGGUCGGCGGGGCCGGGGAGGUUGGUUGACGCAGGAAAGCAAGAGAGCGAUGGCGAUAACUAGCGCAAGCACAAGUCCCAUCAUAUCCACGUUGAGCUCUAUGCACAACUGCCCCAUCUCUCUUCUUCUUCUUCCUUUCUCUGCCCUACUCCAGAAACAAUGGCAAUUAUUAAAGUUUCAGCAUAGGCGGCUAUUCUACUUUUUGGAGUCAAAACACUAAAUAUAUAAACGAUAUUG